GGCGAACGGGUGAGUAACACGUGAGCAACCUGCCCUAGGCUUUGGGAUAACCCCGGGAAACCGGGGCUAAUACCGGAUAGGACCUCCUGUCGCAUGGUGGGGGGUGGAAAGUUUUUUCGGCCUGGGAUGGGCUCGCGGCCUAUCAGCUUGUUGGUGGGGUGAUGGCCUACCAAGGCGAUGACGGGUAGCCGGCCUGAGAGGGCGACCGGCCACACUGGGACUGAGACACGGCCCAGACUCCUACGGGAGGCAGCAGUGGGGAAUAUUGCACAAUGGGCGGAAGCCUGAUGCAGCGACGCCGCGUGAGGGAUGACGGCCUUCGGGUUGUAAACCUCUUUCAGCAGGGACGAAGCGCAAGUGACGGUACCUGCAGAAGAAGCGCCGGCCAACUACGUGCCAGCAGCCGCGGUAAGACGUAGGGCGCGAGCGUUGUCCGGAUUUAUUGGGCGUAAAGAGCUCGUAGGCGGCUUGUCGCGUCGACUGUGAAAACCCGCGGCUCAACUGCGGGCCUGCAGUCGAUACGGGCAGGCUAGAGUUCGGUAGGGGAGACUGGAAUUCCUGGUGUAGCGGUGAAAUGCGCAGAUAUCAGGAGGAACACCGGUGGCGAAGGCGGGUCUCUGGGCCGAUACUGACGCUGAGGA
RNAcentral lists this ribosomal RNA (641 nucleotides) under Micromonospora sp. I15A-00811. RNAcentral's name for it is "bacterial SSU rRNA". It matches the Rfam family "Bacterial small subunit ribosomal RNA", at positions 97 to 752 of the family's 1533-position model. The record is from RNAcentral. Lineage: Bacteria; Bacillati; Actinomycetota; Actinomycetes; Micromonosporales; Micromonosporaceae.